Molecule: ribosomal RNA, 460 nt
Filed under: uncultured bacterium
Lineage: Bacteria
Description: partial 16S ribosomal RNA
Rfam family: Bacterial small subunit ribosomal RNA
Source: RNAcentral
CCUACGGGGGGCAGCAGUGAGGAAUAUUGGUCAAUGGACGCAAGUCUGAACCAGCCAUGCCGCGUGCAGGAAGACGGCCCUAUGAGUUGUAAACUGCUUUUGUACGAGGGUAAACGCAGAUACGUGUAUCUGUCUGAAUGUAUCGUACGAAUAAGGAUCGGCUAACUCCGUGCCAGCAGCCGCGGUAAUACGGAGGAUCCAAGCGUUAUCCGGAUUUAUUGGGUUUAAGGGGUGCGUAGGCGGUCGGGUAAGUUAGAGGUGAAAUCCCGGGGCUCAACGUCGGAAUUGCAUUUGAUACUGGUCGGCUAGAGAGUAGUUGAGGUAGGCGGAAUGGAUGGUGUAGCGGUGAAAUGCUUAGAGAUCAGACAGAACACCGAUUGCGAAGGCAGCUUACUAAGCUACUACUGACGUUGAGGCACGAAAGCGUGGGGAGCAAACAGGAUUAGAUACCCUUGUAGUC